RNAcentral lists this ribosomal RNA (675 nucleotides) under Leptestheria dahalacensis. RNAcentral describes it as "partial 12S ribosomal RNA". The stretch from base 341 to 675 matches the Rfam family "Microsporidia small subunit ribosomal RNA", at positions 752 to 1198 of the family's 1311-position model. The record is from RNAcentral. Lineage: Eukaryota; Metazoa; Arthropoda; Branchiopoda; Diplostraca; Leptestheriidae.
UUCUGGCUAGAAUCUUAUUAUUAACUAGUAUUAUAUACACUCAAGUGUGCUCUUAAAGAGAAAAAUGUAGUAAUAAACAUUAAUUAUUAGAAUAUCUAGAAUUAGCUAAGUUAAUAGAGUCGGCAAAAAUCGUGCCAGCCGCCGCGGUUAUACGAAGGACUCGAAUAAGAUAUAUUGGCGGAAUGUAGAAAAACGAUAAUUUAGUAAUAUUUUGAUAGAAACAGUUAAAAGUGAAAUUUUCAAAUGAAUUAGUAAAAGAUAUUAAAGAUAUAUUUUUUCCUGCACAAAUGAGAAAAUAAACUAGGAUUAGAUACCCUACUAUUCUCAUUAUAAUUCGCUCGGGUAGUAAAAGAGAAUCUUCAAACCCAAAGAAUUUGACGGCACCCCAUCUUACCAGAGGAACCUGCCCCAUAAUCGAUAAUCCACGCUACAACUUACUUUUUCUAAUGAAGCUUGUAUACCGCCGUUGCCAGAUAAUUUUUAAAAAAUAUUAUCUAAAAUAAAAUUUUUAAGGACUUCAGGUCAAGGUGCAGCUUAUGAAAAAGAGGAGGUGGGUUACAAUAACUUUUAAUUAUACGGAAAGUAAAUGUAAAAAAACUAGAAGGUGGAUUUGGCAGUAAGUGUCGUUUAGCAAAGAACACUGAAAAAAGCUCUGGGGUGUGUACACAUCGCCCG